This 301-nucleotide ribosomal RNA is filed under the name uncultured bacterium. RNAcentral's name for it is "partial 16S ribosomal RNA". It matches the Rfam family "Bacterial small subunit ribosomal RNA", at positions 509 to 807 of the family's 1533-position model. The record is from RNAcentral.
CAGCCGCCACGGUAACACGAAGGGUGCAAGCGUUGCUCGGAAUGACUGGGCGUAAAGGGCGCGUAGGCGGUUUGCCAAGUUAGAUGUGAAAUUCCCGGGCUUAACCUGGGGACUGCAUUUGAUACUGGCAGGCUUGAGUGUGGAUGAGGGUCGUGGAAUUCCCAGUGUAGAGGUGAAAUUCGUAGAUAUUGGGAAGAACACCGGUGGCGAAGGCGGCGACCUGGUCCAUAACUGACGCUGAGGCGCGAAAGCGUGGGGAGCAAACAGGAUUAGAUACCCCUGUAGUCCCUGUCUCUUAUAC